Molecule: long non-coding RNA, 1663 nt
Organism: Homo sapiens (human)
Lineage: Eukaryota; Metazoa; Chordata; Mammalia; Primates; Hominidae
Gene: FTX
Product: FTX transcript, XIST regulator
Source: Ensembl
GAGGCAAAGCUGGUCCUGUGCCUGCUGUCCAUUGCCGCUAAGGCCUGCUGCUGCCAUUCAGGCGUGUCUCUCUCUCUCUCUCUCUUUCAUGCCGCUCUCUCCACCCCAUCUUGGGACGGCCAGCUCUAAGAAUUCCUGCUACGACACUGAAUUCAACCAGGAGGUGAUGCCACACUCAAUCAGAAACUAUGCUACUGCUGAAGAGGUAUAUUGAGCCCUGCCUGGUUAACCUCCAGUGAGGUUAUUAGAGAAUUGGGAGAGGCUCAAAUCAGCAUCCUGCACCUAGUUAUCAAACCAUUGUGAAGUCUUGAUUCCUGGAUGGCCAGAAAACUUGUCAUUGGUCAAGAGCAACAUUAAGAUCUGCCUGUUACUCAUACUGAUGCUUCCUGCCCAGCAAGUUCAUCAGAGGGCGAGGAUGAAUUACGGUUGCCAUGAAUGUCCUUGUGAGGCAGUUGGGAAGCCUUGGCUGGAUUGUGAAGGAUAUUUGAAAAGUAUUUUAGAGUCCACCAGAUCAUCCAUGUGAGUGACCAUGCAGCAAAAGAAGGAGGGUCCUCUCAGUGAUUAAGGAUUAUGAAGUAUUAAUUCUUCCACUGAUAUCUCAAAAGGUGAUCUGGACAAAGGAACAGGUAUCUCAGAUAAUCAGCAACUGCUGUGAUGAGAUGCUGCCUUUAAUGCUGCUGCAUGUGGUCAAACCUCCACUCCCAGUCUACCCAGACCAGGACUUGGCUUCCAGGAUCCAGGGGUGUCUGUGUGAAAUGAUCAGCCUGGGCCCCCAAGCAGGUCACUCCCAGCACAGAGAUGUCAUUGAUUGUACCACCGUCAUCAGGCUGUCUUCCGCCCUCAGGGAAAAGUAGCAUGUCUUCCAGCACCAUAUGACAACUGCUCAGCACUUAUUUCUUGUCAUUGCUCCCUUCUGACUGCAGCUCCGUGGGAUCACAGGAGAUUAUGGUGGUGGUGGACUCCCAGGCAUUGCUAUUCUCCUGACACCAGAACACCAUCAUGGUCAUCUCUGAGGCAUCAGUAGUGUUUCUAUAUGCCAACAGUGAACAAUCUGAAAAAGAUAUUAAAAAGUAAUCUCAUUUACAAUAGCCACACAUAAAAUUAAAUACCUAGGAAUUAACCAAAGAAGUUAAAUAUCUCUAUAAUGAAAACUAUAAAACACUGAUGAAUGAAAUUGAUGAGAUCACCAAAAAUGAAAAAAUAUUCCAUGUUCAUGGAUUGGAAGAAUCAAUAUUGUUAAAAUGUCCAUACUACCCAAAGCAAUCUACAGAUUCAGUGCAAUCCCUAUAAAAAUACCAAUGACAUUCUUCACAGAAAUAUGAUCCUAAAAUGUAUACAGAACCACAAAGACCCAGAAUAGCCAAAGCUAUCCUAAGCAAAAAGAACAAAACUGGAGGAAUCACAUUACCUGACUUUAAAUAAUACUACAGAGCUGUUGUAACCAAAACAGCAUGGUACUGGCAUAAAAGCAGACACACAGACCAAUGGAACAGUACAGACAACCCAGAAACAAAUCCACACACAAACAGUGAACCCAUUUGUGACAAAGGUGCCAAGAAUAUGCACUCGGGAAAACACAGUCUUUACUCCACAAGCACAAGCAACCAAAGCAAAAAUGGACAAAUGGGAUUACGUCAAGUUUAAAAGCUUCUACACAGCAAAA